AUUGAACGCUGGCGGCAUGCCUUACACAUGCAAGUCGAACGGUAACAGGUCUUCGGAUGCUGACGAGUGGCGAACGGGGGAGUAAUACAUCGGAACGUGCCUAGUAGUGGGGGAUAACUACUCGAAAGAGCGGCUAAUACCGCAUGAGAUCUACGGAUGAAAGCAGGGGAUCGCAAGACCUUGUGCUACUAGCGCGGCCGAUGGCAGAUUAGGUAGUUGGUGGGAUAAAAGCUUACCAAGCCGACGAUCUGUAGUUGGUCUGAGAGGACGAUCAGCCACACUGGGACUGAGACACGGCCCAGACUCCUACGGGAGGCAGCAGUGGGGAAUUUUGGACAAUGGGCGAAAGCCUGAUCCAGCAAUGCCGCGUGCAGGAUGAAGGCCUUCGGGUCGUAAACUGCUUUUGUACGGAACGAAAAGCCCCGGGUUAAUACCCUGGGGUCAUGACGGUACCGUAAGAAUAAGCACCGGCUAACUACGUGCCAGCCGCCGCGGUAA
Molecule: ribosomal RNA, 498 nt
Filed under: uncultured bacterium
Lineage: Bacteria
Description: partial 16S ribosomal RNA
Rfam family: Bacterial small subunit ribosomal RNA
Source: RNAcentral